UACGUAGGUGACAAGCGUUGUCCGGAUUUACUGGGCGUAAAGAGCGCGCAGGCGGUCGAUCAAGUCGAGUGUGAAAGCCCCCGGCUCAACUGGGGAGGGUCAUUCGAUACUGAUCGACUCGAAGGCAGGAGAGGGUAGUGGAAUUCCCGGUGUAGUGGUGAAAUGCGUAGAUAUCGGGAGGAACACCAGUGGCGAAGGCGGCGACCUGGGUAGAUACUGACGCUGAGGCGCGAAAGCGUGGGGAGCAAACAGG
Molecule: ribosomal RNA, 253 nt
Filed under: uncultured bacterium
Lineage: Bacteria
Description: partial 16S ribosomal RNA
Rfam family: Bacterial small subunit ribosomal RNA
Source: RNAcentral